CGUAGGGUGCAAGCGUUAAUCGGAAUUACUGGGCGUAAAGCGUGCGCAGGCGGUUUUGUAAGUCAGAUGUGAAAUCCCCGAGCUCAACUUGGGAACUGCGUUUGAAACUACAAGACUAGAAUAUGUCAGAGGGGGUAGAAUUCCACGUGUAGCAGUGAAAUGCGUAGAGAUGUGGAGGAAUACCAAUGGCGAAGGCAGCCCCCUGGGAUAAUAUUGACGCUCAUGCACGAAAGCGUGGGGAGCAAACAGGAUUAGAUACCCUGGUAGUCCACGCCCUAAACGAUGUCUACUAGUUGUUGGUGGAGUAAAUCCAUGAGUAACGCAGCUAACGCGUGAAGUACGACCGCCUGGGGAGUACGGUCGCAAGACUUA
RNAcentral lists this ribosomal RNA (372 nucleotides) under uncultured organism. Its description in RNAcentral is "bacterial SSU rRNA". It matches the Rfam family "Bacterial small subunit ribosomal RNA", at positions 526 to 897 of the family's 1533-position model. The record is from RNAcentral.